RNAcentral lists this transfer RNA (83 nucleotides) under Pandoraea nosoerga. RNAcentral's name for it is "Pandoraea sp. LMG 31109 tRNA-Asp". Lineage: Bacteria; Pseudomonadati; Pseudomonadota; Betaproteobacteria; Burkholderiales; Burkholderiaceae. The record is from RNAcentral.
CACGCCGCAGGCGGGCCUGGCCGGCCGCCGCGGUUAUCAGCCGCGCGGGCGCGGUCUGGGCGGUUCCAGUUCGAUCAACGCGA